RNAcentral lists this ribosomal RNA (492 nucleotides) under uncultured bacterium. Its description in RNAcentral is "partial 16S ribosomal RNA". It matches the Rfam family "Bacterial small subunit ribosomal RNA", at positions 29 to 507 of the family's 1533-position model. The record is from RNAcentral.
AGUGAACGCUGGCGGUAGGCCUAACACAUGCAAGUCGAACGGCAGCACAGUAAGAGCUUGCUCUUACGGGUGGCGAGUGGCGGACGGGUGAGGAAUACAUCGGAAUCUACUUUUUCGUGGGGGAUAACGUAGGGAAACUUACGCUAAUACCGCAUACGACCUACGGGUGAAAGCAGGGGAUCUUCGGACCUUGCGCGAUUGAAUGAGCCGAUGUCGGAUUAGCUAGUUGGCGGGGUAAAGGCCCACCAAGGCGACGAUCCGUAGCUGGUCUGAGCGGAUGAUCAGCCACACUGGAACUGAGACACGGUCCAGACUCCUACGGGAGGCAGCAGUGGGGAAUAUUGGACAAAGGGCGCAAGCCUGAUCCAGCCAUACCGCGUGGGUGAAGAAGGCCUUCGGGUUGUAAAGCCCUUUUGUUGGGAAAGAAAAGCAGCAGGUUAAUACCCCGCUGUUCUGACGGUACCCAAAGAAUAAGCACCGGCUAACUUCGUG